Molecule: ribosomal RNA, 400 nt
Filed under: uncultured Sedimentibacter sp.
Lineage: Bacteria; Bacillati; Bacillota; Tissierellia
Description: bacterial SSU rRNA
Rfam family: Bacterial small subunit ribosomal RNA
Source: RNAcentral
GGGGAAUAUUGCACAAUGGAGGAAACUCUGAUGCAGCGACGCCGCGUGAGUGAAGAAGGUCUUCGGAUCGUAAAACUCUGUCCUUGGUGAAGAAAAGGACGGUAGCCAAGGAGGAAGCCCCGGCUAACUACGUGCCAGCAGCCGCGGUAAUACGUAGGGGGCGAGCGUUGUCCGGAUUUACUGGGCGUAAAGGGUGAGUAGGCGGUUGUAUAUGUCAGGUGUAAAAGGCUAUGGCUUAACCAUGGUUAGCACUUGAAACUGUGCAACUUGAGUGCAGGAGAGGUAAGCGGAAUUCCUAGUGUAGCGGUGAAAUGCGUAGAUAUUAGGAGGAACACCAGUGGCGAAGGCGGCUUACUGGACUGUAACUGACGCUGAGUCACGAAAGCGUGGGUAGCAAACA